UAGGGAAUCUUCCGCAAUGGGCGAAAGCUUGACGGAGCAACGCCGCGUGAGUGAUGAAGGUCUUCGGAUCGUAAAACUCUGUUAUUAGGGAAGAACAAAUGUGUAAGUAACUAUGCACGUCUUGACGGUACCUAAUCAGAAAGCCACGGCUAACUACGUUCCAGCAGCCGCGGUAAUACGUAGGUGGCAAGCGUUAUCCGGAAUUAUUGGGCGUAAAGCGCGCGUAGGCGGUUUUUUAAGUCUGAUGUGAAAGCCCACGGCUCAACCGUGGAGGGGCAUUGGAAACUGGAGAACUUGAGUGCAGAAGAGGAAAGUGGAAUUCCGUGUGUAGCGGUGAAAUGCGCAGAGAUAUGGAGGAACACCAGUGGCGAAGGCGACUUUCUGGUCUGUAACUGACGCUGAUGUGCGAAAGCGUGGGGAUCAAACAGG
Molecule: ribosomal RNA, 429 nt
Filed under: Actinomycetes bacterium
Lineage: Bacteria; Bacillati; Actinomycetota; Actinomycetes
Description: Actinobacteria bacterium partial 16S ribosomal RNA
Rfam family: Bacterial small subunit ribosomal RNA
Source: RNAcentral